UCGGGCACAGCUGCACCCAAAAAUAACUGCCCGAAGCACGGGGUGCCAAGUUCGUCCGGCGGAAAAAGGCAACAAAAACUGGUGGGCUAUAGCCUUGGGGGGUGGGGCUGGCCAACUUCGUCUGCCGGACCCGGAAUGGCGCGAGACUAUACGAGGCACCUCCAUUUGCCAAAAAUAGGCCGUGGACAAAGCCGCGCCCAAAAAUAGCCGCCCGAAGGCCGGGGCGCCAAGUUCGUCCAGCGGAAAAAGGCCACAAAAACGGGUGGGCUAUAGCCUUGGGUGGUGGUGCUGGCCAACUUCGUCCGCCGGACUCGGAAUGCCGCGAGACUUUCCGAGGGGCCUCCGUGUGCCAAAAAUAGGCCGCGGGCAAAGCCGCGCCCAAAAAUAACCACCCGAAGGCUGGGGCGCCAAGUUCGUCCGGCGGAAAAAGGCCACAAAAACGGGUUGGCUAUAGCCUUGGGGGGUGGGGCUGGCCAACUUCGUCCGCCGGACUCGGAAUGCCGCGAGACUUUGCGAGGGGCCUUCGUGUGCCAAAAAUAGGCCGUGGGCAAAGCCGUACCCAAAAAUAACCGCCCGAAGGCCAGGGCGCCAAGUUCGACCAGCGGAAAAAGGCCACAAAAACGGGUGGGCUAUAGCCUUGUGGGGUGGGGCUGGCCAACUUCGUCCGCUGGUCUCGGAAUGGGGCGAGACUUCACGAGGCACCUCCGUGUGUCAAAAAUAGGCCGCGUGCAGAGCCGGGACCAAAAAGAACCGCCCGAAGGCCGGGGCGCCAACUUCGUCCAGCGGAAAAAGCCCACAAAAACGGGUGGGCUAUAGCCUUGGGGGGUGGGGCUGGCCAACUUCGUCCGCCAGACUCAGAAUGUCGCGAGAGUUUGCGAGGGGCCUCCGCGUGCCAAAAAUAGGCCUCGGGCACAGCUGCACCCAAAAAUAACUGCCCGAAGCACGG
Molecule: long non-coding RNA, 946 nt
Filed under: Citrus x clementina
Lineage: Eukaryota; Viridiplantae; Streptophyta; Magnoliopsida; Sapindales; Rutaceae
Description: Citrus clementina (C. clementina) long non-coding RNA (CCLE_LNC005933)
Source: RNAcentral